AAAAAAAAAAAAUGGAGGUGAAAGCAAAGCUUGUUGACACAUCUAAGGGCAUUAAAGAUUUGGAGCAAAAAAAAAAGAGAUCAAGUCAAAGUAAAGAAAUUUGAGUUUGAGGAGUUUAUAAUGCCUUUCACUAUGAUUGAUGAUAAUGAGUUUGAAUUGGAAUUAUUUAUCAAUUUACCAUAGAAGAUGAAGUUGAAACUCAUAAAAAAGAGUAAGGAGAGUUGGAGAUGCCAAUGGGACGUGAAGAACAACCAACCAUGGAGG
Molecule: unclassified non-coding RNA, 264 nt
Filed under: Hevea brasiliensis (rubber tree)
Lineage: Eukaryota; Viridiplantae; Streptophyta; Magnoliopsida; Malpighiales; Euphorbiaceae
Source: RNAcentral